GAGGGACCUGGUGGAAGAUCUUUUGAAUCAUGGGAGCAGUUUUGCCCAUAUUGUUUUCAUGGUAGUGAAUAAGUGUCACGAGAUCUGAUGGUUUUAUCAGGGGUUUCUGCUUUUGCAUCUUCCCCAUUUUCUCUUGCUCCCACCAUGUAAGAAGUGCCUUUUGCUUCCCACCAUGAUUCUGAGGCCUCCCCAGCCAUGUGGAACUGUAAGUCCAAUUACACUUCUUUUUCUACCCAGUCCAGGUAUAUCUUUGUCAGCAGCAUGAAAAUGGACUAAUACAGUCACAAACACAUAGAACUUAGCAAUUGAUGAAACUUACACAUACAGAAUAUCACUCGUUUGCCUGAGGAAAAUUCACAUCUUAAUUACUUUGAGGAAAUCUCCAAGUGCACUGACAUUAUCAAUAGGUCAGUACAGGUCAUUCCUUGCUACCUGUAGAAAUGGACGCCCACCGUACCUGAUGCCAAUGAAACACAACUGUGGCACUCAAUGCUGGAGACCUGUGAUGCUUUUGUGAAUAGAGAGGCAGAUGGAUCCCUCUGCUUAUGCUACAAUAAAUCUGCUCGUAUACAAAAGUAUACAGAGGGUAGUGAGGCACCUCUAUCAUUUCACAUACAUUCAGUCCCAUCCUCAGAAAGCACAACUAUCUUCAGUAUAGCUAGGCUAGCUUGACCUGUGGCUUGUCCUCCAUUUCCAUAGUUGGCAAAUGUUAGACCUGUGUAUACCACCAGCAAGUCUCCUUCUUCCCUAUUGGGAAGUUCCACCUCUAGGGAGAUUCUCAUUAUCCUUCCAGCAAUCUGGUUUCCUUUAUUGCCCUGCCAGUCCAUCAGACGUAUGUGAAUAUGGCAGAAGAUGAAUGGAGAACAGGGACUAUGUGUCCCCUGCAGCAAACUUCUCAGCCCCUUUGCAAAUUAGUGGUUACAAAUGGGGAGGAUGGAGUUUGUACAACUUCAUCAGCAUUGGAGCUCUCUCUUUCACCCAUCUAAGACAAGUUGUUACUUACAUUCACAUCACUUCUGUGAAGUUUGAAGGGAUUCUAAAAGAAUCAAUUUAAAAUAAAAAUGAACAGUUAAAUAACUUGUCCAAAAGCACAUAGCACAUGAGUGAACGUGAUGAGCUUUAAAUCUAGAUAUAACUGACUUCAGACGUAUAUUCUUUAUAUAACAACUUUAUUGAGGUGUACUUGUGCAAUACACUGCACAUACUUAGUGUGUACAUUUUUGUAAGUUUUGGUAUGCUAUACACCCAUGAAAUUAUCACCACAGGAAAAUAAGCAUAUAUAUAUAUAUAUAUAAAACAAAAGUUCCCUCAUGUCUUUCUUUCUGCCCCUCCCUGACCACCACCCUCUGCAUCUCAGGCAACUAUUCAUCUAUUUUCUGUCUAUUGAUUAGUUUGCAUUUCCUAGAAUUUUAUAACAAUGAACAUUCAUAGCACACACUUUUUCCCUCAAUUUCUCUCAUUUAGCAUGAUUGAGAUUAUGUUGUUUGUAUACAAACAGUUCAUUCCAUUUAUUGCAUAACAGGGUUCCAUUAUACUGAUAUGACUAUUUAUUCAUUCACCAAUUAAUGAAUAUUUGGGUUGUUUCCAGUUUGGAACCAUUGCAAAUAAAGCUCCUAUAAUCAUUAAAGUGCAAAAUGCAAUCUUCAUUUGAAGAUAAUAUGCUUUUAUUUCUCUUGGAUAACACAGUGGGUGUAUGUUUAAUUUCUUAAGAAACUGCAACACUGUUUUUCAAUGUGGUUCUACCAUUCUACAUUCACACCAGCAGUGUUGAGAAUUCUAAUUCCUCUACAUCUCAACCAAUACUUG
This 1806-nucleotide long non-coding RNA is filed under the name Homo sapiens (human). Its description in RNAcentral is "HSALNT0208629". Lineage: Eukaryota; Metazoa; Chordata; Mammalia; Primates; Hominidae. The record is from RNAcentral.